CCUACGGGAGGCAGCAGUGAGGAAUAUUGGUCAAUGGGCGGGAGCCUGAACCAGCCAAGCCGCGUGAGGGAUGACGGUACAGCGUAUUGUAAACCUCUUUUGUCAGGGAACAAAGGCCGGGACUAGUCCCCGGUUGCGGGUACUUGAAGAAAAAGCAUCGGCUAACUCCGUGCCAGCAGCCGCGGUAAUACGGAGGAUGCGAGCGUUAUCCGGAUUUAUUGGGUUUAAAGGGUGCGCAGGCGGCCUGUUAAGUCAGCGGUAAAAGGCCGGGGCUCAACCCCGGCGAGCCGUUGAAACUGGCGGGCUGGAGUUGGAGAGAAGUACGCGGAAUGCGCGGUGUAGCGGUGAAAUGCUUAGAUAUCGCGCAGAACCCCGAUUGCGAAGGCAGCGUACCGGCUCCACACUGACGCUGAGGCACGAAAGCGUGGGUAUCGAACAGGAUUAGAUACCCGAGUAGUC
RNAcentral lists this ribosomal RNA (459 nucleotides) under uncultured bacterium. Its description in RNAcentral is "partial 16S ribosomal RNA". It matches the Rfam family "Bacterial small subunit ribosomal RNA", at positions 338 to 795 of the family's 1533-position model. The record is from RNAcentral.